AUUCCAGCUCCAAUAGCGUAUAUUAAAGUUGUUGCAGUUAAAAAGCUCGUAGUCUGACCGUUGUCCUGGCAUUGAGCGUCCGUGGUUACUGAUCAUGUGUACGCGAGGUGCUGGACACUACCUUCGGAGGAGCGUUCGUGCUUUUAACUAAGUGCGUGCGGGAUUCCGAUAGUUUACUUUGAGAAAAAUAGAGUGUUCAAAGCAGGCGUUUGCCUUGAAUACAUUAGCAUGGGAUAAUGAAAUAGGACGUUGGUUCUAUUUUGAUGGUUUACGGACCGACGUAAUGAUUAAUAGGGACAGUUGGGGACGUUUAUAUUCCAUGGCUAGAGGUGAAAUUCUUGGAUUCAUGGAAGAUAAACUACUGCGAAAGCAUUUGUCAAAGAUGUUUUCAUUG
RNAcentral lists this ribosomal RNA (394 nucleotides) under Pterocystida sp. Its description in RNAcentral is "partial small subunit ribosomal RNA". It matches the Rfam family "Eukaryotic small subunit ribosomal RNA", at positions 582 to 975 of the family's 1831-position model. The record is from RNAcentral. Lineage: Eukaryota; Centroplasthelida; Pterocystida.